GGGUGCCGGGCCACGAGGCGCGGCAGGUUCUGCACUGGUCGGGCCGCCAGCG
This 52-nucleotide non-coding RNA is filed under the name unclassified sequences. RNAcentral describes it as "Li+-I sequence". It matches the Rfam family "nhaA-I RNA". Rfam says of the family: Acidobacteria, Alphaproteobacteria, Betaproteobacteria and Gammaproteobacteria, Verrucomicrobia, cand. division NC10. Downstream gene The record is from Rfam by way of RNAcentral.